AACAAAAAAGGAUUAAAAUGACACUGUUCUAUUCGAUUCAAUUUCCCCGCAAACAAACAGUGUUCUUUCGAAAAGAGUGUUCUACAAAAUCUUCAAUCUCACUAACAUGUUCUACAAAAUCUGGUGAUUUUGGGCAGUAAUCUUCGAUCAUAAUCUUCAAUGGAACAUUGAAAGGACCAGUUCUCCCUACCAAUUCAUCGUUUUAGGGAUUGGACGUUUCUCGCCUUCGAAUUCAGUUUUUCAAGCCUUCGAAUUGACGUUUCUCGCAGAUUUUCUUAGCAAUUUCCUAAUUCGAUCGCAUCUUCAGAUCAUCACUCCUUUGUGUUAUGAUAUGUGUUUGUCAGGAUCAGUUGAAGUUGCUACAGUUUUAUAGAGCAGCUGAAGAGAUCUUGUGACCGAGUUCCUGAGGCUCUCAUUUUUUGGCGACUUGUCAGCAUGGUGCUCUUGCUAUGAAGAAAUGUUAGUGGACUCUUCCUGACUAUCUCAGUCUCAGGUGCAGAAAAUGUGAUUCGUCUAGAAUUUUCUGGUUUUAUGUGGUAUCUGAUUUGUACAUUGAACAUUUUAGUUGAGAGUGUAAAGAUUUAGCCACUGCAAAGCUUAGUUGGUGCAGAAAAUGUCAAAUAGUGAUUUGGUAGUGUAGAUACAUCAGACUGUGUUCUUAUUAUUGAGACGUACAUGUGGUAUUUCAGAAA
This is a long non-coding RNA of Beta vulgaris subsp. vulgaris (sugar beet), 692 nucleotides long. RefSeq lists it as uncharacterized. The transcript is spliced from 2 exons. Lineage: Eukaryota; Viridiplantae; Streptophyta; Magnoliopsida; Caryophyllales; Amaranthaceae. The record is from RefSeq and is a predicted model, not a curated record.